GACGAACGCUGGCGGCGUGCCUAAUACAUGCAAGUCGAGCGAGCGGCGGACGGGUGAGUAAUGUCUGGGAAACUGCCUGAUGGAGGGGGAUAACUACUGGAAACGGUAGCUAAUACCGCAUACCAUCAGAUGUGCCCAGAUGGGAUUAGCUAGUAGGUUGGGUAACGCCUCACCUAGGCGACGAUCCCUAGCUGGUCUGAGAGGAUGAACAGCCACACUGGAACUGAGACACGGUCCAUACGCCUACGGGAGGAAGCAGUGGGUAAUAUUGCACAAUGGGCGCAAGCCGGAUGCAGCCAUGCCGCGUGUGUGAAGAAGGCCUUCGGGUUGUAAAGCACUUUCAGCGGGGAGGCGUUACCCGCAGAAGAAGCACCGGCUAACUCCGUGCCAGCAGCCGCGGUAAUAC
RNAcentral lists this ribosomal RNA (406 nucleotides) under uncultured bacterium. Its description in RNAcentral is "partial 16S ribosomal RNA". It matches the Rfam family "Bacterial small subunit ribosomal RNA", at positions 28 to 526 of the family's 1533-position model. The record is from RNAcentral.